This 414-nucleotide ribosomal RNA is filed under the name Selenomonas sp. oral taxon 138. Its description in RNAcentral is "bacterial SSU rRNA". It matches the Rfam family "Bacterial small subunit ribosomal RNA", at positions 28 to 423 of the family's 1533-position model. The record is from RNAcentral. Lineage: Bacteria; Bacillati; Bacillota; Negativicutes; Selenomonadales; Selenomonadaceae.
GACGAACGCUGGCGGCGUGCUUAACACAUGCAAGUCGAACGGAGCGAAUGAAAGCUUGCUUUUAUGAGCUUAGUGGCAAACGGGUGAGUAACACGUAGACAACCUGCCGACAGGAUGGGGACAACAUUCCGAAAGGAAUGCUAAUACCGAAUGAAGCGGAGGAGAGGCAUCUCUCCUCCGUGAAAGAUGGCCUCUGAAUAUGCUAUCACCUGUCGAUGGGUCUGCGUCUGAUUAGCUGGUUGGUGAGGUAACGGCUCACCAAGGCGACGAUCAGUAGCCGGUCUGAGAGGAUGAACGGCCACAUUGGGACUGAGACACGGCCCAGACUCCUACGGGAGGCAGCAGUGGGGAAUCUUCCGCAAUGGGCGCAAGCCUGACGGAGCAACGCCGCGUGAGUGAAGAAGGUUUUCGGAU